GCAUAAAAACUGUCUUGGAGUUAACAGCAGUUCUCUGUUUCUCCUGAAUGUUAUGUACAAUUUGAUCGGGAUCGGAAGAAUGUUUCAAAAAGUCGGGCUCAGUGAUCAAUUAAUUUAAACAACAGACCGCCAAAAUUUAACCUUGGCCUCCAUGUUGCAACGUCUGCUCUGUCUAAAGGAAGAAGUUUGUUGACCAGACAGCCUGAGAUCGUAUUGCUGUAUCAACCAAAAGAUGCAGAUACACGUAUUUCAUAUGCGCGUCUGUGCAUGAGGAGGAGAUUUCUGAAAAAGAAUAAGUGCUUAUUCAACUUACUGCGAUUUUAACGGGCUUAAAGCUUGGUCCAUGGAUGGUUAUGUUUGAGGAUUUGACAAUUCAACCGCAAGUGCUGCUGCAAGAAAUUAAACAUGCAGAGACCUUACAAAUUACAAAGAAGUCUGAAGAAAAUUUUUAUUGGACAGAUGGGUGUAAAGCACAGACCUGACAUAUAAAUUGAAUUGUGAGAAAUAUGAAUCAGGGAUGCAGGUAGAAAAUGGCAAAUGUGA
This is a long non-coding RNA of Saccostrea cuccullata (small rock oyster), 543 nucleotides long. RefSeq lists it as uncharacterized. The transcript is spliced from 3 exons. The record is from RefSeq and is a predicted model, not a curated record. NCBI's taxonomy places the organism in Eukaryota, Metazoa, Mollusca, Bivalvia, Ostreida, Ostreidae.